AUUGAACGCUGGCGGCAGGCCUAACACAUGCAAGUCGAGCGGAUGAAGGGAGCUUGCUCCUGGAUUCAGCGGCGGACGGGUGAGUAAUGCCUAGGAAUCUGCCUGGUAGUGGGGGAUAACAUCCGGAAACGGGCGCUAAUACCGCAUACGUCCUGAGGGAGAAAGUGGGGGAUCUUCGGACCUCACGCUAUCAGAUGAGCCUAGGUCGGAUUAGCUAGUUGGUGGGGUAAAGGCCUACCAAGGCGACGAUCCGUAACUGGUCUGAGAGGAUGAUCAGUCACACUGGAACUGAGACACGGUCCAGACUCCUACGGGAGGCAGCAGUGGGGAAUAUUGGACAAUGGGCGAAAGCCUGAUCCAGCCAUGCCGCGUGUGUGUAGAAGGUCUUCGGAUUGUAAAGCACUUUAAGUUGGGAGGAAGGGCAGUAAGUUAAUACCUUGCUGUUUUGACGUUACCAACAGAAUAAGCACCGGCUAACUUCGUG
This 484-nucleotide ribosomal RNA is filed under the name uncultured bacterium. RNAcentral's name for it is "partial 16S ribosomal RNA". It matches the Rfam family "Bacterial small subunit ribosomal RNA", at positions 30 to 507 of the family's 1533-position model. The record is from RNAcentral.